UAAGGAAUAUUGGGCAAUGGACGCAAGUCUGACCCAGCCAUGCCGCGUGAAGGAUGACGGCCCUAUGGGUUGUAAACUUCUUUUGUACGGGAAAAAACCUUCGAACGUGUUCGAAGCUGAUGGUACCGUAAGAAUAAGCAUCGGCUAACUCCGUGCCAGCAGCCGCGGUAAUACGGAGGAUGCAAGCGUUAUCCGGAUUCAUUGGGUUUAAAGGGUGCGUAGGCGGGAUAAUAAGUCAGUGGUGAAAGCCUACAGCUUAACUGUAGAACUGCCAUUGAUACUGUUAACCUUGAGUACAAUUGAAGUGGGCGGAAUGUGUCAUGUAGCGGUGAAAUGCUUAGAUAUGACACAGAACACCGAUAGCGAAGGCAGCUCACUAAACUGUAACUGACGCUGAGGCACGAAAGCGUGGGGAUCAAACA
RNAcentral lists this ribosomal RNA (422 nucleotides) under uncultured prokaryote. Its description in RNAcentral is "bacterial SSU rRNA". It matches the Rfam family "Bacterial small subunit ribosomal RNA", at positions 355 to 774 of the family's 1533-position model. The record is from RNAcentral.